Anolis sagrei ordinatus is the source of this 1348-nucleotide non-coding RNA. Lineage: Eukaryota; Metazoa; Chordata; Lepidosauria; Squamata; Anolidae. The record is from RefSeq and is a predicted model, not a curated record.
GGCUGUGUGGAAGGGCCCUAAGGUUAGCCCUGUUUCUGGGUUUAUUUGACCCUCUGUUUCCAAAAACGGAGUCCAGUUCCCCCCCUCUCGGCUGAACUGGGUUAUCAGAGUCCACACUGCCAUAUAUUCCAGUUCAAAGCAGAUAAUGGGUUUUAUUCAGCUGCGUGGAAGGGGCCUAGAAGGGGCCUCACACAAUGCAGAUUGAACUGGAUAUAUGAGUCUACAGUGCUGUAUAAUCCACUUCAAUGCAGCCAGUCUGCAUUCUGAAACUGGAUUGUAUGGGAGUGUAGGUGGAGUUUUAGAAACUAGAGCUAAUGUGGUCUCCAAUGAAAAUUUCUGACUCAGCGCCCCAAAUAACCCCAGGAACAGGCCUCAAAACCAAGACAAAUAAAUUGUUGUUGUUGAUUGUAAGGCUGGAUCUACACUGGGGUCUACAGUGACCAUAUAGCUCAAACUGCAUCAUAUGCCUGGGUAGAUCCAGCCUAAGACUACAUCUCCCAGGAUUCUAUAGCAUUGAGUGAUGGCAGUUAAAGUGAUAUCAAACUGCAUCCAUUCUACAGUGCAGAAGUACCUCUCUGUGGACAGUUUGACAGAACAUUAGUUGCCAUGUGAUUCUGGGAGUUGUAGUUUGCUGAGGUUCCAGUUCUUUUUGGCAGAUGAUGUAAAACACUUUAUAAAACUACAACUCUCCUUCUCCUAUAGCACUGAGCCAUCGCAGUUACAGUAGUAUCCUUAAUCCUAUCCUGUGUAGAUGCACCAGCACUCUUUCUGUUUUUUGGAUUUAUUCCCAGAAUCUCCAAGCCAAAUCUUGAGGGUUCUAGAAGGUAUACCUCUAUGCUUCUUCUGUGCUUGCUGAAGUCUUUCUUUUCAAAACAAUUACUGUGAUUCCCACCCUCUCAACACCCCCUUAAAAAAAACCAGGAACAACUGCCGAAUCAAGGCUAAAAUAAUAUGAAACUCUGCAUGAAGGAUUGUGCCAUGCUGUGAAAGGGCUUUGUGCCCCAAAGGGGUUAAGGGGGGGGGGGGAGAGAAAAACAACCCCAAACUUCUGAACUUGUGGAAAAAUACGAUGUGUGACACUAACAAAAGUGUGCCAGAAGUUAAGACAUCCCUGAAGCUGUUUACUGGGAAUGGUGUUCUAAUUAUGGUGGUUUCCUUUCUCUCUUAAAGCCUCUGUAUUCAUUCCGAAUUAAGUUCUGUUGAAGUCCAAGCAACUUUCAUGUGAACCUGUCAGUAUUGAAGGGGAAUAAACCACCUACAGCGCCUGUCACUCUGAUCCAGUAUUUCCAAUGUUGUCACCUCUCAUCCUGCUACCAUUUUCCUGAUUAAAAACAUUAUGUUGCAAAGC